This 246-nucleotide ribosomal RNA is filed under the name uncultured Flavobacterium sp. RNAcentral's name for it is "partial 16S ribosomal RNA". It matches the Rfam family "Bacterial small subunit ribosomal RNA", at positions 1 to 255 of the family's 1533-position model. Lineage: Bacteria; Pseudomonadati; Bacteroidota; Flavobacteriia; Flavobacteriales; Flavobacteriaceae. The record is from RNAcentral.
UCGAGAGUUUGAUCCUGGCUCAGGAUGAACGCUAGCGGCAGGCUUAACAUAUGCAAGUCGAGGGGUAUAGUUCUUCGGAGCUAGAGACCGGCGCACGGGUGCGUAACGCGUAUGCAAUCUACCUUUACAGAGGGAUAGCCCAGAGAAAUUUGGAUUAAUACCUCAUAGUAUGUGAGAAUCGCAUGGUUUUCACAUUAAAGUCACAACGGUAAAAGAUGAGCAUGCGUCCCAUUAGCUAGAUGGUAA